RNAcentral lists this long non-coding RNA (2674 nucleotides) under Parus major (Great Tit). Its description in RNAcentral is "lncRNA (ENSPMJG00000010049.1)". The record is from RNAcentral. Lineage: Eukaryota; Metazoa; Chordata; Aves; Passeriformes; Paridae.
GUAUAUCUGUACCUACGAAAAGCAAACCAGCAGACACGUAUCAGUGCUUCAAUAGGUAAAGAGACCUGGAGUAACUACAGAGCGCAGUAUUUCAUUUUCACACAUUUUUCCACCUUACGCUCAGUUUCCAGCCAUCAUCCCUCCUCUUCCUUCCGAUUCUCAUCUCCCGUGCCAAAAAGCAGUACAUUUCUCCCGCACUUGUUCCCAGCCCUCUCGCACAAUGACACAGCACUUCCAGCACGAUGUGCCCAGCGCCGUGACACCGGCACAGAGCCGGCCACGGGCACCACGACCGCGCUCGAUCGCGGCUCUGACGGCGCUGCCGCCCCUGCCCGGGCGGGGGCUGGGCAGGGACCCGCGAGGCACCGGGGAAGCUUCCGCGGGUCUCAGCCGGGCCCUGCGGAGCAGCACAGCGGUGUCGCGGGGAGUCGCGGGGCCCCGCGGGCAGGGCCAGCGCACAGGGCGCCCCAGUCCCGCCGCCGCUCCCGCCCGCCGCGUCCCGCCCGCCCCGGCCGGCCCAGGCCGCGGCGGUCCCGCCUGCAGGCCGCGGCCUGGCGUGCCCUGACGUCCCGUCCCGUGCCGCCCCCGCCCGGCACCUUCAGCCGGGAACUCCUCAAACUCGUCGUCCUCCUCCAGGAGUCCCAGGUCCACCGGCUGCUUCUUCUCCGACAUGCUGGGCCCGCACCGCGUCCCACCGCCCUCGCGCCUGCUGGGAUCCCGCGGCCACCGCCGCGCCUGCGCCGCUGCCGGGCCCGGCUCCGGCCCGCGCCUGCGCCCUGCCGUCCCGGCUGCUGCCGGCCCCGCCCGCCGCCGCCGGGCCCUCACCGAGCGGGCCGGGGUUCCGGUGGCCGCGGGACGUGCCGGCUCUGCCUGUGCUGCUGUUUGAGCAGCGGGAUCGUUCCUGCACCGCCUGACCGAUCUGCACAGACCGCUACCGAGCGCGGCUGUUCCCUAUCGUUAUCGCUGUGGUACUUCAGUAAAUGUCUGUUGUGACAUUGCAGUCCUGCCAGGCUUCUAGCAUAUAAGGAUACAUACAGUACAUCUGAGUCGAGGGCCAGAGGAGACCUUUGCCAUCAUCUGAUGUGAUGCCCUGCAGAACGCCAAGCCAAGGAGCUUUCCUGCCAGGAAACCGCCUGGCAACCAUACAAGCCACGUCUUGGACAGCGCAUGGCAUGAAGGAGACUAGCUUGGAAACUGGUGUUGGCAGACGAGGUAGCAACAUCUGCAGGAGCUGCUUGUCCACAGGGGGUAGCUGUACCUCAGGAGUCUCUUGGGGCCAUGGGAGAGUGACCUCCCUGCAGGCAGGUGCUGCAGGCACCAGUGGUGGAGCCAUGAGAGAGCUCGGCAGCAAGACUGGGGCUGGCUCCGCACUCAAAGGUGUACAGGGCCCCUCUGACUGCACAGAACCUUUGCCUGUGCUUUUCCUGCUACAAAACCACAUCUGGAGGCAGGGCCUGGGCUGGGCUCUAUUCCCAGGACCUCCAUCUCAUGCCAGGAAUCCCAUCCUGCACCGAGGAACGUCCUAGUUGGGAAUACAACCAUAUGAGCAGGCAGGGCUGGAGAGGUGGGGUGCUGACAGAAAGGAGCAGUGAUUUCAAAAUACAGUUUUUAAAAAAAAUUGUCAAAGCUCUGCAACACUGAGGAUUAAGCACACUGAAUAAGCUUCCUACAAUAGCAGUGUGUUAGAUUGGGUGGAAAAGUCCAAUGGAGAAGCAUCCAGGAAACAUCUUUCAUGCCUGCACAUUAAAUUUAAUCUUCCACCCCCAUCUUUUAAGACUUGGCAUUCAUCUACUAAAAAAAGACGUUGAUCUGAAAGAAAAAGAGAGGGAAAAGAACCCAGUCUGCUAUAACAGUUUGCUUGGCAAAAUGGGAGAGACUUGAGGAAUGAAUUGUGUGUGAGUUACAAAGAGCCAUCCUGCGCUGUAGACACUGGGCCUGUAUUUGUCACUCUCACCCCCAGCCCAGCACUGUCCCAUUGGCCUCUUCAUUCAGCACAGCUAUCUGUCAUGAAGAAUUUAAGUUUCAUAUUUUCAUCUGUCAGUUGUGAAAAGGCCUGUCAGCUGAAGCUUACACUACCAUUUGCUAAAAGGCCUAUAGCCCAUGCUGACAAUACACUCUUAUAUUUGUGCUUCCAGGCUCCAGAUAAUCCCCUCACUUUCCUCCUCAGCAGUCCAGUUAUGAUGAGGCUUAAAUUGCAUAUUUUGGGGGGUUUUAAAUCCAGAUUUUGCUGAUAAAUGCUAUCAGCAGGAAUGAAAUGAAAUACAGCACAGUUUAGCUCUUAUUACCAGCAUUUUGUGAGACAGUAUUCAUAUUAAACAGGUUAAUGUCUAUAAUGUCUAUAGUCACAGGAACUAAAUGUAGGAAUGCUAAUAUCAGCUUUUAUCUACUUUGUCUGUUUGCCAUCCCUGAAAAAAAAUACUCAUCCUUCAAACAUGGAAUUUCCCAGUUUGUGUCCUUAAUGUCUUUAAUUUUAUUUGCAAAGGGAAAUAAUAUAGCCAGCUCAUUACAAAUCCACAGGCAAUUGUUUUAUGCUCCGAGAUACCACCAGAUUACCCAUAAAAUGCCACAGAAGGAAGAAAGUGUCUAAAUCCCCAAAGCAUACUUUCAAACUCCAACACUUUUCCUGUAACACUGUUAACAAAAUUACCAAAAUAAAAAACUGGUCACCAACCCA